This 465-nucleotide ribosomal RNA is filed under the name uncultured bacterium. Its description in RNAcentral is "partial 16S ribosomal RNA". It matches the Rfam family "Bacterial small subunit ribosomal RNA", at positions 28 to 507 of the family's 1533-position model. The record is from RNAcentral.
GACGAACGCUGGCGGCGUGCUUAACACAUGCAAGUCGUACGGUAAGGCCCUUUCGGGGGUACACGAGUGGCGAACGGGUGAGUAACACGUGAGUAACCUGCCCACAACUUUGGGAUAACGCUAGGAAACUGGUGCUAAUACUGGAUAUGUGCUCCUGCUGCAUGGUGGGGGUUGGAAAGCUCCGGCGGUUGUGGAUGGACUCGCGGCCUAUCAGCUUGUUGGUGGGGUAGUGGCCUACCAAGGCGGCGACGGGUAGCCGGCCUGAGAGGGUGACCGGCCACAUUGGGACUGAGAUACGGCCCAGACUCCUACGGGAGGCAGCAGUGGGGAAUAUUGCACAAUGGGCGCAAGCCUGAUGCAGCAACGCCGCGGGCGGGAAGACGGCCUUCGGGUUGUAAACCGCUUUCAGCAGGGACGAAGCUUUUUGUGACGGUACCUGCAGAAGAAGCACCGGCUAACUACGUG